UCGCUCCUACCGAUGAAUGGUCCGGUGAGGAUUUAGGAGGACCGCAGAUCCUGGUUUAUUCCACUCUGUUGUUUGUCCAAAUUCAUUCAAACCUUAUCAUUUAAAGGAAGGAG
RNAcentral lists this ribosomal RNA (113 nucleotides) under uncultured eukaryote. Its description in RNAcentral is "partial small subunit ribosomal RNA". The record is from RNAcentral.